GUUAAGAGCAAAAUUUGAUUUUUUGUGUGUGAUUACAGACUUGUGUGUGAGGUUUUGAUUGUGGCGCAGUCAGUUGUUUGCCGAGAAGCCUUGAAAACUGUGUAUUGCCCCCUUAAGAGCAAAAUUUGAUUUUUUGUGUGUGAUUACAGACUUGUGUGUGAGGUUUUUAAG
Molecule: long non-coding RNA, 171 nt
Organism: Ruditapes philippinarum (Manila clam)
Lineage: Eukaryota; Metazoa; Mollusca; Bivalvia; Venerida; Veneridae
Exons: 3
Source: RefSeq, a predicted model, not a curated record